GAUGAAGAACGUAGCGAAAUGCGAUAAGUAAUGCGAAUUGCAGAUUUCAGUGAGUCAUCGAAUCUUUGAACGCACAUUGCGCCCGCCAGUAUUCUGGCGGGCAUGCCUGUUCGAGCGUCAUUUCAACCAUCAAGCCCCCGGGCUUGCGUUGGGGCCCUGCGGCUGCCGCAGGCCCCGAAAAGCAGAGGCGGGCUCGCUGUCACACCGAGCGCAGUAGCGAUUCUCGCUCCGGGCGUCGGCGGCGGGCACCGGCCGUGAAACCCCCCCACAUCCACAAGGUUGACCUCGGAUCAGGUAGGAAUACCCGCUGAACUUAAGCAUAUCAAUAAGCGGAGGA
RNAcentral lists this unclassified non-coding RNA (337 nucleotides) under soil metagenome. RNAcentral's name for it is "partial contains 5.8S ribosomal RNA, internal transcribed spacer 2, and large subunit ribosomal RNA". The stretch from base 1 to 120 matches the Rfam family "5.8S ribosomal RNA", at positions 35 to 154 of the family's 154-position model. The record is from RNAcentral.